AGGCCUAGGACUUGGGCGAUGGCAUGCGUGCCCACAGAGAGGGCUCUGAGUGCCGCCUCUAGCACCCGUGCCAUAGGUUCGCCACCACUGAACAAAACUAACAAAGUCUGCUCUCAGUUCAUUCUGGAAUCUGACUCUCUCUCCAGAGGAUAAUUUCCAUUCCUGUGAACAUGAUCAGAUCAAUGGGAUUCCAAGUUUCAAUGGGAAGAAAAAUUGGAUAAUAUUGGGAUCUCUUAGCGUUGCCAUUCUGAUUCUGGCUGCCUUGCUUUAUCUUUUGGUAAAGAAAGGUGUAUUUUGCUUAUCAAAGGAAGAUGAAUCAAAUUCUGAAACUAGUCUUUAUGGUAAUAUUUUACCAUUCUAGAAAAAGGAAGCAAUCUGAAGAUGUGGGUGUAGGAAAGACUGCUGGAAAAAAAAAGACUAUUUCCCCCAAUUAUUAUGUCUGAAACAGAAGAAGGGAAAAACAAGGGUGAUUAUACAGAUACAGGUUACA
This is a long non-coding RNA of Crotalus tigris (Tiger rattlesnake), 490 nucleotides long. RefSeq lists it as uncharacterized. The record is from RefSeq and is a predicted model, not a curated record. The transcript is spliced from 4 exons. Lineage: Eukaryota; Metazoa; Chordata; Lepidosauria; Squamata; Viperidae.